GACAAACGCUGGCGGCGUGCCUAAAACAUGCAAGUCGAACGGUCCUUCGGGACAGUGGCGGACGGCUGAGUAACACGUAGGUGACCUACCCUUGAGUGGGGAAUAACGCUCCGAAAGGAGCGCUAAUACCGCAUACGACCACCGUUUUUCGGGACGGGUGAGGAAAGCCGCAAGGUGCUCGAGGCUGGGCCUGCGUCCGAUUAGCUAGUUGGUGAGGUAACGGCCCACCAAGGCGACGAUCGGUAGCGGUCUAAGAGGAUGAUCAGCCAGACUGGGACUGUGACACGGCCCAGACUCCUACGGGAGGCAGCAGUUAGGAAUCUUGGGCAAUGGGCGAAAGCCUGACCCAGCAACGCCGCGUGGGUGACGAAGGCCUU
This 377-nucleotide ribosomal RNA is filed under the name uncultured bacterium. Its description in RNAcentral is "bacterial SSU rRNA". It matches the Rfam family "Bacterial small subunit ribosomal RNA", at positions 28 to 418 of the family's 1533-position model. The record is from RNAcentral.